Molecule: long non-coding RNA, 1803 nt
Filed under: Junco hyemalis (dark-eyed junco)
Lineage: Eukaryota; Metazoa; Chordata; Aves; Passeriformes; Passerellidae
Description: lncRNA (ENSJHYG00000000475.1)
Source: RNAcentral
CAGAGCUCGGGAGGAAAAGGAGCUGCUCCAGCGAGGAUAUUUAGGAUUAAACCUCUACUCCAGUUCCAUUAAAGCUCAUGAUUAAAGUGCUGGACUCCAGACAAUGCUUCCCUGACUUCCCAGCUGCUCCCCCAGCUCCCACUUUACAUCUCCAGCCCAACCCCUUUUCAGCCACCUUUGAAUUUUCCCCUUUCUUGCAGGGUUUUAUUCUUUCCCUUUAAUUUUUUUUUUUUCAAACCCCAAAUCCAUGAGUGGCCACUUCUGCAAGCGAUAAAAAUCUUAUUCCCUGCCUUUGGAUUUUUUUUUUUUUCCAGGCAAUUGUAGCUUGCAACACCUUAAUUAUCGCGGCUCUGAAAACCGGUUAAAGAUUUUAAUACUUCCUUCCCCAGCCUAUUAUGCAGCGACUUCUCAGCCCCAUAAAAUGUUCCUCUGGAGCCCCAUGGCCUCGUGCUGCUGCAUUUCCCUGCUCCAUCCUUUCCCCACGGAUUAAACACUCCCAGCUCUCCCCUUGGGGCAGGGCUCCUUGGAAAAUCACUUUCCCGGGAGAGGGGCUGUGCCUCUGCCAGGGUGUUGGGGAUCCACGUGCCAGCCCGGUGGGAUCUCCUCCCUUUCAUCCUAAAAAACACUUAGGGGGAAUAUCUCCCUGGUCCCACGGUGCCUGUGGGAUGAGAGAAGUUUAUUCCCCACCGAUGUUUUAUUUAGGUGAGGACGCUGGGGACCACCAGGUCUGUGGGUGGCUCUUGGAUCCCUCAUGGAAUGGGAGCCUGGAGCAGCACCCCAGGAUGGAGCUGUGUGGGAGCUGAGUCCCCAAAACUCAUGACAUCCACAUGGGAAUGUCCAUGGCAGCCCCAGGAAAAGGGAAGGGACAUGGAAAUCCCAUAAAGUCCUUGUGGAAUCACAAGGAUCAUCCACCAUAGCUGGGAUUUUGGGCAUGGAUGGGGAUUGUGGUGCCCUGGACCUGCUCAGAGCCCCCCAGGACAUGGAUCCCUUCCUUCUCCCACCUGGAGCCCAGACCAGAUCCCGGUGUCAUGGGUGCACCUGAGGCAGGGAACCGCUUCCCAUUUAAUUUAUUGGGUUUUUAACCAUCCAAGGAAUUGCCGUGGUUGGUCACCACCGAUUCCUUCUCAUGUCUGGGUGUAAAAAUCAGGUGCUCUGCUUCCCUGGGCAGGUGUUUCCUGCUGGGCCAGCACCAGGGGGGCUGGGAAGGAGCUUUCCCACUCUCCCACCCCUCCAAGGUGUCCCACUGCCCUGGCUGAGCCCUGCUCCCGUUCCACGGGGCCUCUCCCACCUUGAAGUGUUUGGUGUCCCUGGCACAUUCCAGGCAGGGCAGAGGCCACAAUCCUGGUUUUUCCUGGUGUGCCAGGUGUGGCUGUGCCAGGUGUGGCGCUCUCCAUGGGGAGGGGACCUUUGGAAUCUCCUGCCUGGCUCAGCGGUGCCUGCCUCACCUGCUCCCUCCCCCAUCCCGAGGAUCCACGUCCACCACGGGGUCUGAUCCCAAAGUGCUCCCAAAGGGAUCCUGCAGGGAUCCUGUGCCCUCCUGGCCGGGAGGGGCGGGGUUGGGCAUCCUCCUCCUCCUCCUCCUCCUUUCCAAAGGAUUCCCGCGCUCCCGAGCCCCACCUGAGCCGGAGCCGGAGAGCGGCAUCGCCAUGGCAACGGGGCUGAUGGCAGCCGGGGAUGGAGGGGCAGGAGAGGGGGAACGGGGAAUGGGAACGGGCAGGGAGAGAGGGAAUGGGGAGGGAAUGGGCAGGGAGAGUGGGAAUGGGCAGGGAAUGAUCAGGGAAUGGGCAGGGAACAGGGAAUGGG